GGGGAAUAUUGGGCAAUGGGCGAAAGCCUGACCCAGCAACGCCGCGUGAGGGAAGAAGGCCUUCGGGUUGUAAACCUCUGUCCUUGGUGACGAAAUAAAUGACGGUAGCCAAGGAGGAAGCCCCGGCUAACUACGUGCCAGCAGCCGCGGUAAUACGAAGGGUGCAAGCGUUAAUCGGAAUUACUGGGCGUAAAGCGCGCGUAGGUGGUUCGUUAAGUUGGAUGUGAAAGCCCCGGGCUCAACCUGGGAACUGCAUCCAAAACUGGCGAGCUAGAGUACCGUAGAGGGUGGUGGAAUUUCCUGUGUAGCGGUGAAAUGCGUAGAUAUAGGAAGGAACACCAGUGGCGAAGGCGACCACCUGGACUGAUACUGACACUGAGGUGCGAAAGCGUGGGGAGCAAACA
This 404-nucleotide ribosomal RNA is filed under the name uncultured Pseudomonadaceae bacterium. RNAcentral describes it as "bacterial SSU rRNA". It matches the Rfam family "Bacterial small subunit ribosomal RNA", at positions 356 to 774 of the family's 1533-position model. The record is from RNAcentral. Lineage: Bacteria; Pseudomonadati; Pseudomonadota; Gammaproteobacteria; Pseudomonadales; Pseudomonadaceae.